Molecule: ribosomal RNA, 769 nt
Filed under: uncultured bacterium
Lineage: Bacteria
Description: bacterial SSU rRNA
Rfam family: Bacterial small subunit ribosomal RNA
Source: RNAcentral
CUCUUCGGGGAUGAUUAAACCGGCGCACGGGUGAGUAACACGUGAGUGACCUGCCUUUUAGACUGGAACAACUUACCGAAAGGUGAGCUAAUGCCGGAUGAGUUAUAUAAGUGCAUGUUUAUAUAGGAAAAGUUGGGGAGACCUGACGCUGAAAGAUGGACUCGCGUCCCAUUAGCUAGUUGGUAGGGUAAUGGCCUACCAAGGCGACGAUGGGUAGCCGGCCUGAGAGGGUGGCCGGCCACACUGGGACUGAGACACGGCCCAGACUCCUACGGGAGGCAGCAGUGGGGAAUUUUGCGCAAUGCUCGUAAGAGUGACGCAGCGACGCCGCGUGAAUGACGAAGGCCUUCGGGUCGUAAAGUUCUUUCGACAGGGAAGAAAAUGCCUAUAAGUAACUGUGUAUGUAUUGACGGUACCUGUAUAAGCAGCCCCGGCUAACUCCGUGCCAGCAGCCGCGGUAAUACGGAGGGGGCGAGCGUUGUUCGGAGUGACUGGGCGUAAAGAGCACGUAGGCGGUGUUGUAAGUCAUUAGUCAAAGACUAGAGCUCAACUUUAGUAAGGCUAGUGAUACUAUAAUACUAGAGUAUCAGAGAGGAUUGCAGAAUUCCUGGUGUAGCGGUGAAAUGCGUAGAUAUCAGGAGGAAUACCGUUAGCGAAGGCGGCAAUCUGGCUGGAAACUGACGCUGAGGUGCGAAAGCGUGGGUAGCAAACAGGAUUAGAUACCCUGGUAGUCCACGCUGUAAACGAUGGAUGCUAGGUGUUGGGCUUU